AGUCGAACGAUGAUCAGGAGCUUGCUCCUGUGAUUAGUGGCGAACGGGUGAGUAACACGUGAGUAACCUGCCCCUGACUCUGGGAUAAGCGUUGGAAACGACGUCUAAUACUGGAUAUGACUUCCGGCCGCAUGGUCUGGUUGUGGAAAGAUUUUUUGGUUGGGGAUGGACUCGCGGCCUAUCAGCUUGUUGGUGAGGUAAUGGCUCACCAAGGCGACGACGGGUAGCCGGCCUGGGAGGGUGACCGGCCACACUGGGACUGAGACACGGCCCAGACUCCUACGGGAGGCAGCAGUGGGGAAUAUUGCACAAUGGGCGAAAGCCUGAUGCAGCAACGCCGCGUGAGGGAUGACGGCCUUCGGGUUGUAAACCUCUUUUAGUAGGGAAGAAGCGAAAGUGACGGUACCUGCAGAAAAAGCACCGGCUAACUACGUGCCAGCAGCCGCGGUAAUACGUAGGGUGCAAGCGUUGUCCGGAAUUAUUGGGCGUAAAGAGCUCGUAGGCGGUUUGUCGCGUCUGCUGUGAAAUCCCGAGGCUCAACCUCGGGCUUGCAGUGGGUACGGGCAGACUAGAGUGCGGUAGGGGAGAUUGGAAUUCCUGGUGUAGCGGUGGAAUGCGCAGAUAUCAGGAGGAACACCGAUGGCGAAGGCAGAUCUCUGGGCCGCAACUGACGCUGAGGAGCGAAAGCAUGGGGAGCGAACAGGAUUAGAUACCCUGGUAGUCCAUGCCGUAAACGUUGGGCGCUAGAUGUAGGGACCUUUCCACGGUUUCUGUGUCGUAGCUAACGCAUUAAGCGCCCCGCCUGGGGAGUACGGCCGCAAGGCUAAAACUCAAAGGAAUUGAC
This 844-nucleotide ribosomal RNA is filed under the name uncultured bacterium. RNAcentral describes it as "bacterial SSU rRNA". It matches the Rfam family "Bacterial small subunit ribosomal RNA", at positions 60 to 914 of the family's 1533-position model. The record is from RNAcentral.